RNAcentral lists this ribosomal RNA (425 nucleotides) under uncultured bacterium. RNAcentral describes it as "bacterial SSU rRNA". It matches the Rfam family "Bacterial small subunit ribosomal RNA", at positions 356 to 773 of the family's 1533-position model. The record is from RNAcentral.
GGGGAAUAUUGCACAAUGGGCGCAAGCCUGAUGCAGCCAUGCCGCGUGUGUGAAGAAGGCCUUCGGGUUGUAAAGCACUUUCAGCGGGGAGGAAGGCGGUGAGGUUAAUAACCUUGUCGAUUGACGUUACCCGCAGAAGAAGCACCGGCUAACUCCGUGCCAGCAGCCGCGGUAAUACGGAGGGUGCAAGCGUUAAUCGGAAAUACUGGGCGUAAAGCGCACGCAGGCGGUCUGUCAAGUAGGAUGUGAAAUCCCCGGGCUCAACCUGGGAACUGCAUCCGAAACUGGCAGGCUAGAGUCUUGUAGAGGGGGGUAGAAUUCCAGGUGUAGCGGUGAAAUGCGUAGAGAUCUGGAGGAAUACCGGUGGCGAAGGCGGCCCCCUGGACAAAGACUGACGCUCAGGUGCGAAAGCGUGGGGAGCAAAC